RNAcentral lists this ribosomal RNA (467 nucleotides) under uncultured bacterium. RNAcentral describes it as "partial 16S ribosomal RNA". It matches the Rfam family "Bacterial small subunit ribosomal RNA", at positions 29 to 507 of the family's 1533-position model. The record is from RNAcentral.
ACGAACGCUGGCGGCGUGCUUAACACCUGCCAGUCGAACGGAAAGGCCCUGCUUUUGUGGGGUGCUCGAGUGGCGAACGGGUGAGUAACACGUGAGUAACCUGCCCUUGACUUUGGGAUAACUUCAGGAAACUGGGGCUAAUACCGGAUAGGAGCUCCUGCUGCAUGGUGGGGGUUGGAAAGUUUCGGCGGUUGGGGAUGGACUCGCGGCUUAUCAGCUUGUUGGUGGGGUAGUGGCUUACCAAGGCUUUGACGGGUAGCCGGCCUGAGAGGGUGACCGGCCACAUUGGGACUGAGAUACGGCCCAGACUCCUACGGGAGGCAGCAGUGGGGAAUAUUGCACAAUGGGCGGAAGCCUGAUGCAGCAACGCCGCGUGCGGGAUGACGGCCUUCGGGCUGUAAACCGCUUUCGCCUGUGACGAAGCGUGAGUGACGGUAAUGGGUAAAGAAGCACCGGCUAACUACGUG